UACGGAGGGGGCUAGCGUUGUUCGGAAUUACUGGGCGUAAAGCGCGCGUAGGCGGCUUGGCAAGUUAGAGGUGAAAGCCCGAAGCUCAACUUCGGAAUUGCCUUUAAAACUGCAAAGCUAGAAUCAUGGAGAGGUGAGUGGAAUUCCGAGUGUAGAGGUGAAAUUCGUAGAUAUUCGGAAGAACACCAGUGGCGAAGGCGACUCACUGGACAUGUAUUGACGCUGAGGUGCGAAAGCGUGGGGAGCAAACAGG
Molecule: ribosomal RNA, 253 nt
Filed under: uncultured bacterium
Lineage: Bacteria
Description: partial 16S ribosomal RNA
Rfam family: Bacterial small subunit ribosomal RNA
Source: RNAcentral